RNAcentral lists this ribosomal RNA (427 nucleotides) under uncultured archaeon. Its description in RNAcentral is "bacterial SSU rRNA". It matches the Rfam family "Archaeal small subunit ribosomal RNA", at positions 474 to 903 of the family's 1478-position model. The record is from RNAcentral.
UACCAGCUCUCCGAGUUGUAGGGACGAUUAUUGGGCUUAAAGCGUCCGUAGCUGGCUUAGCAAGUCUCCUGUUAAAUUCAGCGACCUAAUCGUUGAGCCGCGGGAGAUACUACUAGGCUAGGAGGCGGGAGAGGUCGACGGUACUUUCGGGGUAGGGGUGAAAUCCUAUAAUCCCGGGAGGACCACCAGUGGCGAAGGCUGUCGACUAGAACGCGCUCGACGGUGAGGGACGAAAGCUGGGGUAGCGAACCGGAUUAGAUACCCGGGUAGUCCCAGCUGUAAACUAUGCGGGCUAGGUGUUGGGGUGGCUACGGGCCACUUCAGUGCCGCAGGAAAGCCAUUAAGCCCGCCGCCUGGGGAGUACGGCCGCAAGGCUGAAACUUAAGGAAUUGGCGGGGAGCACCACAAGGCGUGAAGCUUGCGGUUC